Molecule: microRNA precursor, 61 nt
Filed under: Ornithorhynchus anatinus (platypus)
Lineage: Eukaryota; Metazoa; Chordata; Mammalia; Monotremata; Ornithorhynchidae
Description: Oan-Mir-1306_pre stem-loop
Rfam family: mir-1306 microRNA precursor family
Source: RNAcentral
CCACCUCCCCUGCAAACGUCCAGUGACGCAGAGGUAAUGGACGUUGGCUCUGGCGGUGCUG